UUCUUUGUUUGUUUGUGCGUGUCUGUUUGGUUGUGUUUGUUUCUUUGUGUCUAUGUGUGAGUUAAUGCGUGUGUUGUGUUGGAUCACUUUGUCUUGAGCAGUGAGGGAUGAACGGGACCGCCAACUAUCUCAAGUGCAAACUUUGACUACUGAAUUAGAGAAGUCGAAAGAUUCUAUAGAGAAGUCCUGCUCCGAACUGANCAACAUGACCAUAAGAACAAAUGAACUGGAGGAAAAAUGUGNUUUGCAAGAUGAGCGGAUAAAGUUGCUGCAAUAGAACAUNACCACUGCAGAGGAGAAACUGCAGGUUUCUGACAUAUCUGCAAAUGAGACAAGAACAUAAUUUGAAGGGCAACAAAAGCUUGUACAUGAGUUGCAAAGGCGUUUGGAAGAUGCANAAUAUAAAGUUAUAGUAGGGGAGAAAUUGGGGAAAGAAUUGCACAAUACAAUUUUGGGAACAUCCGCGUGUUCUGUAGAGUGCGNCCUUUGUUACCUGAUGAGGCUUGUAACACAGAAGGAAAGGUUAUAUCUUUUCCCACAUCAAUGGAAGCUUCUGGACGGGGCAUUGAAUUGACACAGUGGCCAAAAACAUUCAUUCACAUUUGAUAAAGUUUUUGCACCUGAUGCGUUACAAGAAGAAGUUUUUAUUGAAAUUUCACAACUUGUGCANAAUGGUCUUGAUGGGUUAUAAGAUGAUAAACUUAGGGCUGUCACUAAUAUUNAGGGUGCUGCAGACAUUAAAGAUACAAAAGUAGUCUUGGUGGAGGUAGGAAAUGGUGGCAACACUGUUAUGAGAACUUGGAAUAUUAAGAAUCAGGAACUCUGGUUACUGCAGCAAGGUGUCUUGAAUGUGCAGAAUCGAAAGCCAGUUAUGAAGGGAAAGCUAUUGUUGCUGAAAGGGAGAGCUGAGAAAGAACAAUUCAAUACAACCUUGGAAACAAUGCAUACCUGGGCACAACAUGGAGAAAAACAGAUANGUUCGGUCUUUUCAUUUCCUUUUAUUUGUAGUUAUAGAUUUUUGUUAUUAAUGUACAUAGCUUUAANUAGCAUAGUAAAUAAUAGGAUAGAUAAUAUGUUGUUUUUCAUAAAAAUAAAAAGAAUUAAUUUUGAUCUAUGGCCAAUUUAAACAAAUUUUCUUUCUCUUAGCUUUGUAGUU
Long non-coding RNA from Vigna radiata var. radiata (mung bean), 1156 nucleotides. RefSeq lists it as uncharacterized. The record is from RefSeq and is a predicted model, not a curated record. The transcript has 6 exons. NCBI's taxonomy places the organism in Eukaryota, Viridiplantae, Streptophyta, Magnoliopsida, Fabales, Fabaceae.